Molecule: non-coding RNA, 160 nt
Organism: Malus domestica (apple)
Lineage: Eukaryota; Viridiplantae; Streptophyta; Magnoliopsida; Rosales; Rosaceae
Source: RefSeq, a predicted model, not a curated record
GGAGAUUCAGCCAUUGAACCAUACUUGGUGGCACACCACCUUCCUUCUUGCUCAUGGAGCAGCUGUAGAAUUGUACAAGAAUAGAUAUCAGGCAACUCAAAAAGGCUUGAUAGGGAUAACAUUGGUGUCAGACUGGUUUGAGCCUGCUUCGGAUUCAAAG